Molecule: ribosomal RNA, 393 nt
Filed under: Rhodobacter sp. EP_L_72
Lineage: Bacteria; Pseudomonadati; Pseudomonadota; Alphaproteobacteria; Rhodobacterales
Description: bacterial SSU rRNA
Rfam family: Bacterial small subunit ribosomal RNA
Source: RNAcentral
GGCAGGCCUAACACAUGCAAGUCGAGCGAAGUCUUCGGACUUAGCGGCGGACGGGUGAGUAACGCGUGGGAACAUACCCUUUGGUACGGAAUAGCCUCGGGAAACUGGGAGUAAUACCGUAUGUGCCCUUCGGGGGAAAGAUUUAUCGCCAAAGGAUUGGCCCGCGUUGGAUUAGGUAGUUGGUGGGGUAAUGGCCUACCAAGCCGACGAUCCAUAGCUGGUUUGAGAGGAUGAUCAGCCACACUGGGACUGAGACACGGCCCAGACUCCUACGGGAGGCAGCAGUGGGGAAUCUUAGACAAUGGGCGCAAGCCUGAUCUAGCCAUGCCGCGUGAUCGAUGAAGGCCUUAGGGUUGUAAAGAUCUUUCAGCUGGGAAGAUAAUGACGGUACCA